Molecule: unclassified non-coding RNA, 1349 nt
Filed under: Hevea brasiliensis (rubber tree)
Lineage: Eukaryota; Viridiplantae; Streptophyta; Magnoliopsida; Malpighiales; Euphorbiaceae
Source: RNAcentral
GGAAAAUAUCGUUUUCGCGCGCGCGCUCCACCGGAUUUUGAACAUUCAGAACAUAUGCAAUCGCCGGAAGUUUGCGCGAUGGUAACCGACGCAAAUAGGUUGACGCCGGCGGAGGAAGAAAUUACGAACACGGCGACAUCAGUACAGGCAGUGGAAGAGUUAUUGAAAUAUCGAUUUCAGAACACGAAGCUUCUAGAAGAAGCUCUUACUCACUCUUCCUGUCCUAAUUUAAUUACUAAUUACCAGCGGUUAGCGUUCGUCGGUGACGCUGCUCUUGGCUUAGCUAUUUCCAGUUAUUUCUUCGUUACUUACCCUGAUGUUGACUGUGGUAGGCUUACUGACCUUCGUUCUGCCAAUUUAAGUACGGAAAAGCUUGCUAGAGUUGCAGUCGGGCACGGCCUUUAGAAGUACCUCCGCCGCAAUUCAUCAAUCCUCGAUGAAAAGGUGAAGGAAUUCGUGAUAGCAGUAGAACAGGAGGAGGAGGCGGAGGUACACGGAGGAGUAAUGAAGGCCCCGAAGGUACUGGCUGAUAUUGUGGAGUCAGUGGUGGCAGCUGUAUAUGUGGAUAUGCACUUUGAUCUGAAGCUUCUCUGGAAGAAAAUUAAUCGCCUCCUCGAGCCGAUUAUCACACUGGACUUGCUUGCACAACAACCACAGCCUGUAACUAUGCUGUAUGAGCUUUGCCAGAAGGACGGGAAACAUGUUGAUAUAAAGCAUUGGAGAAAAGAAGAGAAAGACAUAGCUAGUGUUUAUGUUGAUGGUCAAUUUGUUGUUUCCGCUACUUCUGAGAACAAGGAAAAUGCUAAACUUCACGCUGCAAAGUCUGCAAUCACAAAGUUGGCCUGUAAUCAUACUAGUAAGCUGGAUCUUGAAGUCGAACCAAACACUGAGUUUGGAGGAGCAAAGCAGAAGCUGAAUGAGCUAUGUGGAAGAAAGAAAUGGCCCGCUCCAACUUACAGAAUUGAGAAACAGGUAGGCCCUUCUCAUGAUAGGAGGUUUAUUUGUUCAGUGCAAGUUGCAGUAGCUAAAGGCGUGGUUUUUGUGAUGGGAGAUGAGAAGACGCGUGUAAAAGAUGCAGAGAAUUCUGCUGCAUCAGCCAUGAUUUGGGGUCUGCAAGGUUCCAAUCUCAGUUAGACGCAUAUUAUGGAUUGUACUUAUUUAAUAAUUGCGUAUUUGAGCUAGGGAAUGGUGUAUAAUAUGUCUUGUUAGUGGUUUGUAUGAUUUGAAAUUCAUGACAGUGAUGAAAUAUUAUUGUAGUUCUCAUCAUAUCAGGAAAGACAGAUUGUCAUAGCUGUAGUGAUAAAUUGAUGCAUAAGGGAUGACACCUUUAAAUUAUGUAAAAGAUGUUU